AAGCUUUAAGUUAAAUUAAACUAUUAACCUUCAAAGUUAAAUAUAUACAGUACAAGUGUUUAAGCUUC
RNAcentral lists this transfer RNA (68 nucleotides) under Geotomus sp. FS-2019. RNAcentral's name for it is "tRNA-Trp". Lineage: Eukaryota; Metazoa; Arthropoda; Insecta; Hemiptera; Cydnidae. The record is from RNAcentral.